This 530-nucleotide non-coding RNA is filed under the name Linnemannia elongata AG-77. RNAcentral's name for it is "Mortierella elongata AG-77 Eukaryotic large subunit ribosomal RNA". It matches the Rfam family "Eukaryotic large subunit ribosomal RNA", at positions 2790 to 3401 of the family's 3401-position model. Lineage: Eukaryota; Fungi; Mortierellomycota; Mortierellomycetes; Mortierellales; Mortierellaceae. The record is from Rfam by way of RNAcentral.
AACAAUGCGGGAGAAUGAUGCAACAUGGAUAACUGGCUUGUGUUAGUCAAGCGUUCAUAGCGACGUUGCUUUUGAAUCCUUCGAUGUCGGCUCUUGCUAUCAUACUGAAGCAGAACUCAGUAAGCGUUGGAAUGAUCACCCACUAAUAGGGAACGUGAGCUGGAUUUAAACCGUCGUGAGGCAUAUUGGUUUCAAACUACUCAUGAUAUGUUGUUGCAAUAGUAAUUGAACUUGGCACGAGAGGAACCGUUCAUUCGGAUAAUUAGUACUUGGGCCUGCCUGAGCAGGCAAUAGCCCGAAGCUAUCAUCCAUCGGGUUAUGGCUAAAGGCCUCUAAGUCAGAACCAGUGCUAGAAGGCGACGAUUACCGCCUUUUCCGAUUUUUGGUUGAAUACGAAUAGAUCUUCGGAUCCUGAACCAUACUACGUCCUUACCGUCCCCUACUACUUUCUCUAUUGAUUUGUUCAGUGCAAUUGUCCUUCACUUGGGUGCCCAUUCGGGCUGCAAAGUUGAGAAGGUGCCUUUGAAUUU